AACGUGCAGCCAUCACUCUGAAAUGUGUGGCUCCAUCCGUUGGUGAGAACCAUCCAUUGACAAAGAAAUUGCCAGCCACUACAACAGUUGGAAAACUGAAGGCCCUUUGUGAAAGCUUUUUUAAACUAAGUCCUUGAAGCUGAAAUUGUUUCUUCAAGAAGAGGGUUCUCCUUUACCAAUGUUGCCUGAUGAUGACAUGGUGUCUUUAAUGGACAUCGGGAUUGGCAACGAGUCCACUAUUAUUGUGGAUGAAGAGAGUUGACAAA
Molecule: long non-coding RNA, 266 nt
Organism: Hibiscus syriacus
Lineage: Eukaryota; Viridiplantae; Streptophyta; Magnoliopsida; Malvales; Malvaceae
Exons: 3
Source: RefSeq, a predicted model, not a curated record